CGAACGGGUGAGUAAUGCGUGACCAACCUGCCCCAUGCUCCAGAAUAGCUCUUGGAAACGGGUGGUAAUGCUGGAUGCUCCAACUUGACGCAUGUCUUGUUGGGAAAGUGUUUAGUGGCAUGGGAUGGGGUCGCGUCCUAUCAGCUUGUAGGCGGGGUAAUGGCCCACCUAGGCUUCGACGGGUAGCCGGUCUGAGAGGGCGGACGGCCACAUUGGGACUGAGAUACGGCCCAGACUCCUACGGGAGGCAGCAGUA
RNAcentral lists this ribosomal RNA (256 nucleotides) under uncultured Gardnerella sp. RNAcentral's name for it is "partial 16S ribosomal RNA". It matches the Rfam family "Bacterial small subunit ribosomal RNA", at positions 99 to 355 of the family's 1533-position model. Lineage: Bacteria; Bacillati; Actinomycetota; Actinomycetes; Bifidobacteriales; Bifidobacteriaceae. The record is from RNAcentral.